Long non-coding RNA from Triticum dicoccoides, 938 nucleotides. RefSeq lists it as uncharacterized. The record is from RefSeq and is a predicted model, not a curated record. The transcript is spliced from 6 exons. NCBI's taxonomy places the organism in Eukaryota, Viridiplantae, Streptophyta, Magnoliopsida, Poales, Poaceae.
CCCAGUUCAACCUGCCCGCCGCCAGGUCUAGCAUACCGUCGCCGCCGGCCGGGAGAGGUAGCUACUCCGCCUCCUCCUCCCCUCUUCCUUCCCCUACCUCCCUCCUUCCUGCCUCGGCCCGGCGAGCCACUGCUGCGUGCGUGACCAGGGACAAGCCCUUGAUUUUUGUUUGACAAGGGAUGAGGCCUGCCAAUUUGUUUCUACGGAGAGCCCUUGUUGUUUACAGAGAGCCCUUGUUGUUUACAGAGAGCCUACACUUAUGUCAAUAUUAUUUUGUCAACUACUGUAUCUAUCUUUUGUACAGAGAGCCGUAUAUGUUUCAGACCAAAAAUUUGCUUCUCUAUUCCCUUGUGAUUAUCAUGUCCAGGUUGACCUGCUCCUGUGCGUGCAGGGCAACAUCGACGCUGGACCAGAUGGACGAGCUGCAGUGCCAAACUGGGAGAGGAAUAGACGCUCCAGCAGAGUGAUUAUGCGUGUGUGUAUGUGGAGAAGAUAACUGGGUCGAUUGAUUUGAUGUUAAUUUGUUUGCUUCACUCUGUUUAUUUAUGGCUACGAUGACGGCAGCGUCACACGAGAUGAGGCGCAGGUGGGCGCCGAGGGGGAGAGCCAGCAGCCGGCGCUGGAGUACGAGGAGAGGAUCCACAAGUUCCCCGGCGCGAUGGUUGACGGGGAGAGACGACACUGCCGGUUUGCUGAAGUGGUAGGUUGCCAUUCAGAUAAGCGGAAGCCGUGUUCGGAGCCACCGACAGUGUCUUCCCUGGAUUCGUUCGUGUAAUAAGGAGGGUACCCGACCUUCUUCACGUGUCAAGCAACAAGUAAGGACCAGCCUUGUUUAGGCUGGUGGUGGAAUGCUAGAGAAGUGGUCUGUUUAGGUUGGUGGUGGAAUGCUAGGGAAGGUACCCACCUUUAGAUGAUGGUUGUGUUCGUCUGAUGUUAAA